AAGGGAGACCUAAUUCAGGUAUAAGACGAAAAAAAAGUAGUCCCUACCAAGAAUCAAUCCCAAAAGGUCGGAACGAGGUAUGAGGCUUUCAAACUAGGUUCUGGGUUCAUAAAAGACCUGAAUCAGGAACAAGGGCUAUUAGCUCAGGUGGUUAGAGCGCACCCCUGAUAAGGGUGAGGUCCCUGGUUCGAGUCCAGGAUGGCCCACCUGCACAGGUGGCAAAAACAAGAGAAGCGAGGAAUCAGCACCUUAUCUUACUGACAUAGUAAGAGAGAAUGCUGGCUCUGAGUAAAGAGUCCAGAGGAACCUUGAAAACUGCAUAGAGCUAGGUGAAAAAGCCAAAAAAGAAGACCGCAA
Molecule: transfer RNA, 357 nt
Filed under: Microcystis aeruginosa
Lineage: Bacteria; Bacillati; Cyanobacteriota; Cyanophyceae; Chroococcales; Microcystaceae
Also listed under: 1 other name
Rfam family: tRNA (bases 133-206)
Source: RNAcentral